Non-coding RNA from Chelonoidis abingdonii (Abingdon island giant tortoise), 2974 nucleotides. Lineage: Eukaryota; Metazoa; Chordata; Testudines; Testudinidae. The record is from RefSeq and is a predicted model, not a curated record.
CCCCAGCCGUGGCUGUUUGCAUCUCCCAACAGAAGAGGCAGGAACGUCCCCUCUUUCCUGGCUGGGGGGUGAUUUCACUCCAGUAACGUUCAAGUGGCCGUAGGGAGGGAAUCACUGUGGGGGAGGGGAUCAUGUCCAUGGCAGUGCCAGCGCCACUCCGGUGCUACCAAAGAUAACACGGGCUCCUCUCUCACCCCAGAAAACUGAAGCCGCCGCUUGCCCUGGAGCUGGAAUCACGCCUCCUGCGGGCUCUUCUUUACAUCAUUUUCACUAUGGGCACUGGGCAGGAUACCACCCACUUCCAGCACGUCCAGUUCUGGCUCCACUCCAAAAACACCCAGGUGAGAGCUAGAGCCAUAUGGAGCAGCGCUGCCCUGCUCCAAUUCGCCACCUCCCUCCCUGGAUUUGAUACCUCCUCCAAUUUCCCCAAGACAGGCAACUUUGUGCUGCAGCUGGCUCUGUGCAUCUCUGACCCAGCCAACGACAUCAGCCAGCAAGCCAGGAGUGGGAUCUGUUGGCUGCAGAGGCUCCUGCUCCAGAGGAGGCUGCAGAUGGAGGUCACCGGCAACGGAUGGUCCAUCUCAGGAUCUCUGGGACAUCGGAGGACCUGGCUCUCUACUGCCAAAGCAGGAGAUCAACAGAUCUGGGCUGAUAGCACAGUCUUCACUGGAUCCUUUGGUGGAUUACAGGAGUCAGGGACGAAGAAGGAGGCAUCUGAGUUGCAGGGGAAGCGGGAAAAAGGGAGCCCAGAAGAGCAGGAAGAAGAGCGCACUCCCACCCCCUCAUUACCAAGCAGCUCCUGUAUAACGAUGACCCCCGGGGAGCAACUUUCCUCAGCCCAGCUCCAAGCCCUGCUGAUGAGAGCCAUGAAGGGUCUGACAACACCCACCCUGGAGCGAUUUCAAGCCACAGAAGAAGAGCUGAGGACCAUCAUCUCUCUACACAGAGACCAAAUGGAGAGAGUAAAGAUUGGAGACGUCAUGGGAUGCAUCUCAAUCUGGCUGGACAACGUCUGUGAUCCCAGAGCCAGAAAAGCAGCGCUGAGGGCCACGGCCUUGCUGGCUCGCACCCACUCCCAGGACGUGGUUCUGAGCUGUGUGGCGCACACACUGUCAUCGGACAGGGGUCGUGAAACCCAACUGGACCCUAGCCAGAGGUCAAAUCUCCGGCUCUCCUCAGCAUCCUCUGCAAUGCAUCUCUGCACAGACGAUAGACAAAUCUGUGUCACAUGGGAGAGCAAAUUGAAGAGCAGAAUGAAAGAAAUUGAAUUUCUUACUCAGGCAAUGAGGACCAUUUACGAGGUCCUUUUCCUAUGGGGAUACUGAGAAGCCAUCCUGGAAAUGUAUCCCCAGAUGCUCAUCCCUCUCUCAGGCAAGUGUAGUAUGUGAUGGAUCUGCGCUUGCCAGGAACCCACAUGCCAGCGAGACGUCCAGCCCUGAGGAGGGUUCCAACUGCCUCAGCCCCUUAAGCAUGUCAGUGGAGGCUGUGAAGACUCUUUUCUCCACGCCCGGAUACUGGAAGGAAUUUGCCAGCAUCCAAUUUCAGCAAGGUUGGGACAUGAUGUCCUCCCGAAAUUACUACUCACAGGGGGUUGGCUUGAUUGCAAGAGCCAUGAUCGAGUUUGAGAACCCUCAGCUCCCUGCAGUUUUCAGAGAGGCUGUCACCAUUGUCCAGAGUGAGAAGGAGGAGGAGCAGAGAACUAUCACCAUGACAUUCUGCUCUGAGUUUCUCCAGAGUCCUUCCAUUGAGAUGAUACUGACAAAAUCAGAGCUCCAGGCACAGCUCAUGGAAUGGACCCAAGAUAAAAAUCCCAUUGUACGUCAGCUCAGUCUGCGAGGCCUUGGCAGUACUGUGCUCCAGCCAGGAAAGCCCUACCAUGGAGCCUCUAAGGAGUGCCCCUGCCAUGGGUGGGGAAUCUCCUGCUCAGCCACCUCUCUGUCAGAGCUCUUCUCCGCAAACCUCAGCCUCAUGCUCCCAGCCCCUGUUGCAGCCUGGCCUGUGGGAGAGAGGGCCUGGCCCUGGGCAGAUGACCAGCUGUCUGGAGAACACUGGCCCCCAAAGAGGUGGAGAUUCCCAGCAGGAAAGAGGUGGGUCGGGAAUGGCCUAGCUCUUGGGGCACCGAAGAACAAAAGUAAUGCUGUGUUUUGUAGCAGCACAUCUCCACAAGGCUCCAGCAGCUGCUUCUCCCCUUCCCCAGACCAGUCUCCAGCAGCCUUCCCUCUCCCUCCCCUUUUCUUUCCCCAGCACCUCACACCGUCCCUCAUGGCAGCAGCUCCACCUCCCUUUCCUGCCGCUGAUCACCCAGGGAGCAGAAGUGAGCGCCAGGCCCCACUGCCCAUGGGAAGGGAGCCUAGAGAUGCAUCUGCAGCCAGCGACCUGGGUGGUCACUCAGCCAUCACCUCAAGCCUUGGCUGGGGAAGCAAGAGCCAGAGGAGUGGUGAGGAAACAGAAGGGAAUGAGCAGUGGAGAGAAAAGGGGAAAACAGAGACUGAGAACAGAGGGAUCCAUGGAGAUGGUCAAAUGCAGCAGGAAUGGGGUAAGGAGGGAGGCUCCCUGUAACUUGUCCAUUGCACUCAUCUUCACUUCUGACCCUCCCAUGGCUAGUGACUCACCCCUCAGGCACUGCACAGGGUAGGGUUUGGUGUCUCUCCCAGGCUGUGCUGGUGGAGGUGGGAGAAGAACAUGGAGAGAUUUGCCUCCUCCCUAUAGAGUCUAGUCAGCCAGGGUGAAAUUGAAUGCAGGAAACUGUCCAGACAGAAAUUGUGUCUAGGACACCAUGGGGCUGCACUGCCCUGCACAGUGUCUCGGGCUCUGUUCUGCACGAGAUGUCUAUGGCGCUGGGCUGGAGGCCUUACUGCUCCCGCGAGCCAAGUCAGUUAACACGGGGGGAACCGGAGCAGCAUGCAGAUUAUGACUCUGUCGCGUUCUGCUCUGAUCCUGCCUGGCUUUAACCAGGCUUCCCCACUCCCUGUAU